UUCAACAUCCUCGGGUAUAUCUGACUUUGUGCUCAACUUAUCGUAUAAAUUGUAGGCCCAUGUGGCCCCUUGUAGAAUGACUUUUCAAUAACGGAACUCGUUUGAGUAAUUGGUUCACAACCUGUUUAAGAAUGCAUGUAGUUGUCGAGGAAGUCCAUCCAGGGACAGAGUAUGAGUUGAAAGACAUCGGUAGGAUAUGAUAUAGGGUUGAAUGGGGUAAUUGUAGCCCCGGUUUAUAUGUAGCCCCUGCAGUGUUUGAUGCAUGGGGAUAUCAAUCAAUGUCAUUAGCAGGGGCUACAAUUAAACCGGGGCUACAAUUACCCCAGUCUACCAUAUCUUUCGCCUGUAUUUUCUUCUGAUUCGACUCUGCACCUUAUCGAAGAACAUUACACAAUAACCAAGGACUUACGUGCGAUAUGAGUAUAUCGGUUCAUCUUUCUUUCGGCUAUUUGGCAGUGGUGAAAGAUUCUGUCCAACCUAUGUUUGAGAACGGCAUGUGUCAGCCAAUCACCGUCGUCCUCUUUCAUGGCACUUGGCAACUGGAAGUUGAAGACCCGGAUGUUGCUACCAAUUUGCCGAAUUCAUGCGGAUUUCGUGUUGCAUGUUGUGGGAUUCAUCAUGGCAUGCAGCAAACGGGUCUGUGGGAGCCAUGGGGUCUGCCUCAAACGCGCACCAAAGAAUGAACAACAAGUCCAGGUUCUAUUGAUACGGUUUACUGAAAAAAGUAGAAAAACAAAUAAGUGACGAUACAGAAAGUAAACAAAGGAAGAAACACAUUCAAGCAAUGACAACAACAACGAUGACCUCAAGAACUGUCCCCUGGCCCAGUGCCAAAGUUGAAUACACACCACGUAAUUACCAUUAUAAUUGAAAGAACCAAUACUAGAGCCCAAUGCUCAUAGAGACACAGAGUUACCUAAAUUACGUAACAAUUGGCCCAAUGCCAACAACUGUACUCAAACUAACACAACAGGCUCCCCAAAGAUUGCAUAAUCACGUGACCCACAUACAACCCAAACAUGAGUUAAACGGACUAGAACAGGUGUAAA
This is a long non-coding RNA of Lineus longissimus, 1049 nucleotides long. RefSeq lists it as uncharacterized. The record is from RefSeq and is a predicted model, not a curated record. The transcript has 3 exons. Lineage: Eukaryota; Metazoa; Nemertea; Pilidiophora; Heteronemertea; Lineidae.